This 466-nucleotide small RNA is filed under the name Oryza sativa Japonica Group (Japanese rice). RNAcentral describes it as "sRNA Os03g0828701". The record is from RNAcentral. Lineage: Eukaryota; Viridiplantae; Streptophyta; Magnoliopsida; Poales; Poaceae.
CGUAUUCUCACACGAAUUUGUAAUCGUUCCAGCGGCACGCGCUGCCGCCUCCAUUUCCCACGCUACCGGCACCGCCCACCGCCGGACUUCCUCACCCGCGGCUCCGGCGGCGCCACCGCCCACCGCCGGACUUCCACCGCCCGCCCAAUGGUAUGAUGUGUAGAUGUAGUCCGGAUACGUGCAGCGGGAGCGCGGGCGGAGCUGGAGUAUGGCCAAUCUAGAGGGCAAAGGGAGGUAAAUUAAGGAUCUGGUAAUUGGAACGAUCCCCAUUCCUGCAGACUCAUAGUGUGAUUCAUUGAAUCAAGCUAACAAACUGACUGAAAAUUACCUCAUCAGUGCUGAGUCUAGAUCAUAACUAACUUUAUACAGAAAACAUUGAGUUGUACAACAUGUAUGAUGUAUCUGUAUCAACUUGUUCAAUCUCGGUUAACUGGAACCAAUUUAUGAAAAGGUGGUUAUCACUUCC